CACGAUUCAGCUCACAGUAGCCUCUGUCAGGACAUAACGUUUACAUUGUGAUCCCAGUAACCUCGCAAUAGAGGGAAUGACAUGCAAAGAUUCUGAGGAAGAAAAUUCCAGGCAGGGAAUUCUGUUGAGCAAUGGCCCUGAAAUGGGAGUGAACAGGGUGCGUUUGAGGAACCAGAGACCAGUGGCAGAGGGCAUGGGGUGCAGAAUGCAAAGGGAGGACAUGAAGUCGCAGAGUUCCGGUAUAAGACAUCAUCCAGCCACUUGUCCAGGGAGCACAUCCCAAUCCAGUUCCUGACCAGACAGGGAUCUGCCACUCUUUCCAGCUGGGUGACCUGGUAUAUGUUAAAAAGUUCCAGAAGGAAGGACUCACUCCUGCCUGGAAAGGACCUCAUACUGUUAUCCUCACCAUGCCAAAAGCUCUGAAAGUAGACAGCAUUCCUGCUUGGAUUCAUCACCCUCACAUCAAGAAGACCAACAAAGCCCAGCAAGAAACAUGGGUCCCCAAGCCUGGGACAGGCCCCUUAAAACUGUGUCUAAGUCGACUGAAGCCAUUAAAUUAAUUCUUUACCUCUUUUGUUUGUUUCAGCCUGUCAUGCCUUCUGCUCCUUCCUACUCUUUUCUCCUUACUUCUUUCACGACAGGACGUGUGUUUGCAAACACCACCUGGAAGGCGGGGACCUCCAAGGAAGUCUCUUUUGCAGUUGAUUUAUGUGCUCUGUUCCCAGAGCCUGCCCAUACCCUCGAAGAGCAACACAAUCUGCUGAUCAUAGGAGCAGGAAACAUCAACUUUGCUGCAGG
RNAcentral lists this long non-coding RNA (798 nucleotides) under Homo sapiens (human). Its description in RNAcentral is "HSALNT0385531". Lineage: Eukaryota; Metazoa; Chordata; Mammalia; Primates; Hominidae. The record is from RNAcentral.